This 2944-nucleotide long non-coding RNA is filed under the name Homo sapiens (human). RNAcentral's name for it is "HSALNT0308820". Lineage: Eukaryota; Metazoa; Chordata; Mammalia; Primates; Hominidae. The record is from RNAcentral.
AAUGGAUUUGCAAAGAGAAAAAAAAUUUAAUGUCACACUGCCAUGAUAAGUCAACCAACCAUCUCAUAUAUCAAAGGAGAGAGGCAGAGAAAGAAAAGGAGGAGGAUAAAGAAGAGGAGGAAGAGGACGAAAGGAAAACCAAGAGGAGGAGAAGCCACUUCUUACUUUGGAUUAAUGUGAAACUAAAUAGUUUACUACAUUUUAAGUGGGAAAAUGUUAGUUGAAAAGAUAUUUGUCAACCACAAACAUUUGAAAGGGAAGCAUUCCAAAGAUUUUCACUGUUUAUGUUCAAAUUACAACAUGUGCAGAAAGUUGUGCAACUGAAAAUCCUUUCAAACAACAGCUACAAAAGAGAUUGGUCAGUUAGGACAGGAAUAGAAAGUGGAAACUUAGAAGACUGGCUACUCCUUGUGUAUGAUUGCUGGGGAAAUGCAGUAGACAUUUGUCACCAGCAGCUCUUUGGAGACUUCAAUGUUCCUUCCUCCCAGGAUCCGAAAGGGGACUUCAGACACGGAGAAUCUAAGACACCAGGAGCUCAGAAGAAUGGAGUCUCAAGACAUCAGGCAAAUACCGAAGAGAUCAGAGCCAAGUUCUAAAGGGCAGCCAUUUCCCAAAUGUCAACCAAGAGCGAAGCCAAGAGAAUUAUGAUUUCCUGGCUAUACAAUGACAGGAAAAGCUUGAUCAAAGCUGGAGUGCAAGUUAAAAAGUGUAAGGUACUCAAGUGCUAGGGUCUGUGUCCAAGCCCAAUCAAUUGAUCAUUAGUUGUUUUUAACUUCAACGUUUCUUUUGCAACAGCACCUCUUCCUUAAAGUAGCAAUCUUAGCAGACUGCCACCUUACAUGAUGCAUCUUAUUCUCCAAGGACAAUGAAGACUGAACUAUCGCACAUUACCUAAGAAAGAUGGGAAUUGACAUGCACAUCACAAUUGUAUACACAACAGAAAUUAUUGAAUCAUGAGAUAUACAUUCCGGUGUGUGACAGAUUGGCACAUGACAUAAUCUGGGUUCUUUAUAGACUCAGUUGUUUUGGGGCGAUCUAGAUUAUCAAGAGAAGAGCCUUCAUGCUUAGCUUUAUCUUGUACCAACCACCAGGGCCCUUGCUUCUGAGCAGGAAGCAGCUGGGGAAUAGGCUCUUUCUCUUAAUGACUUCCAACAUAGUUCUCUCAAACCUUACUCCUCCAGAAGGCCACCCUCACCUGGCUAUGGCUACUUCAGAAAAAACUUGGCCUCUGGUAUAAUAGAGCAGAAUCACCACCUCACAUUCUAUUUCAAGCCAAAGUCAAUAUCUCAAAGGCUGGUUCUGUGAUUUAUUUGGCCCUUGGGAGCUCCUACUGAAAGUGCUGAAAUGUCGUACUGACACUUCAGACUUAUAGCUACCUAGACUCCAAGUAAGAUUUAUCUCUGACUGGAGGGUUUCUCCUAUUAAAAACCAAAGAGUGUAGGGUGCCUUCACCUGCUAGGUAAUCUUCUAUGCCCUAAUGGGAAGAAUGGGAGCAGCAGACAAGUAAGUUCAGGAAGGAGAACCAAAGCUGUGUCCAUGCCCUUGAGGAAAGAGAAAUUGGACCAGACAAGUUCAGUGGAAACUUUCUAAUGGAUCCAUCAACUUCAUCUUGUCUAAGCAGAGUCAUAGCUAGAAGUGUGACUGAAAUAGGAGAACCACGUCCAGGGGUUCAGGGGGGAUUCCUCUGAAAUCGCAGCUGGAAGCAUUUCGUAAUAGUUCUGGUACUGCACCCAUAGAUACUGUCACCUCUACUCUUUCUUCCAAUCACCAUUAGCAGAUGCCACAGGAUUCCUACUUCUGAAAGUUUUUGGGCCCUGCAGGUGGAAGACUGGAGAAGCCAAUAAAGUUUAAGGCUACAUUUUAUUCCAUCCACAAAUUUGGUGAAGGAGGAAAUGUUUACAAUUCUGCCAUGCCAUGAAUAGGAGUUUUCCACCGGGUGUACACUGCUGUUAACAAGGUGUAAAUACUUGUCCAGUAAAGAGACCGUACGGUACUGCUGAUGGACGUCCCAACACAAUGCCAGAUGCAAAAACUUCUUUGGUGAUUGCUUUUGAUAACACUGAGUGGCUAAAGGUCUUCUUUCACAUCUUUGCCCACCUCAAAUCCUGAAGGCAAGGUCUCUGGAAUUUGAGGCUGUGCCCUCACAUGCCUCCAAGGCACCAACAAAGCAAAAUGAAGAGUCUGCACUGCUUAUCAGUUGACCCAACACUCAGUCCACAUUGGAGGGGAAGGGGUGGUGGGCUGAGGAUGUCUUCUUCCUGUCCAGGAUGCAAUAUGGUCAAGGAUGAAAGGAAAGAGAUGCUGGGAGCAAGUCUGCAUUGAAGAUGUAUUUCUGUUGCUUUACUACCAACCCUGGUUAUAAAUGAUGAAACUAUAAUGGGUCUGUAAUAGCUACUUUCCCAUAUAGCUCUUGUCUGUACAUACAUAAAAUUAAAAAUAAUAGAAUACUUCCAUUACUAACAUGUGGUGACAAGCAUUCUUCAUUUACCAUUUUUAUUCCAAAAACAUGAUUUAACAUUUUAAAAACCAAGAUCUGUUCGGUAAAUCAGAUAAUAGGGUAAACUAUAGUUUACCCUAUCUUACAGCCAGUUAGAUAAAUGAUUAUUGUGAAAAGAAAAUUGUUAGCAUUGUAAAUAAUGCUUCUUAUAUGAAUACUAAACAGUCUAUUGGAAAACACCAUGGUUGUUGGUUUAGAAUCAGCUUCUUUGGCUGGGCACCGUGGCUCACAUCUGUAAUCCCAACACUUUGAGAGGACAAAGCGGGUGGAUCACCUGAGGUCAGGAGUUCGAGACCAGCCUGACCAACAUGGUGAAACCCUGUCUCUACUAAAAAUACAAAAUUAGCCACGCGUGGUGGCACAUGCCUCUAAUCCCAGCUACUCGGGAGGCUGAGGCAGGAGAAUUGCUUGAACCUGGGAGGCAGAGGUUGCAGAUCACACCAUUGC